Molecule: non-coding RNA, 2288 nt
Organism: Petromyzon marinus (sea lamprey)
Lineage: Eukaryota; Metazoa; Chordata; Hyperoartia; Petromyzontiformes; Petromyzontidae
Source: RefSeq, a predicted model, not a curated record
CUCUGUCUCCGUGUCUCUCUCCGUGUCUCCGUGUUGUCUCCGUGUUGUCUCCACGUCGUCAUGGGUCGCUUCUCGUCGGUCGACGGCAGUGUGGACGGCUCCAUCCACCCUCGUGCCGUCCGUCGGCGCUAGGACUCAUCCAGCAGCGGCAGAGCCUGGCAGGUCAAAGGUCACGUGAGGGUGACUCAUCCAGCAGCAGCAGAGCCUGGCAGGUCACAGGUCACGUGAGGGUGACUCAUCCAGCAGCAGCAGAGCCUGGCAGGUCACAGGUCACGUGAGGGUGACUCAUCUAGCAGUGGCAGAGCCUGGCAGGUCAAAGGUCACGUGAGGGUGACUCAUCCAGCAGUGGCAGAGCCUGGCAGGUCAAAGGUCACGUGAGGGUGACUCAUCUAGCAGCGGCAGAGCCUGGCUGGUCACGUGAGGGUGACUCAUCUAGCAGUGGCAGAGCCUGGCUGGUCACGUGAGGGUGACUCAUCUAGCAGCGGCAGAGCCUGGCAGGUCAAAGGUCACGUGAGGGUGACUCAUCUAGCAGCGGCAGAGCCUGGCUGGUCACGUGAGGGUGACUCAUCUAGCAGCGGCAGAGCCUGGCAGGUCAAAGGUCACGUGAGGGUGACUCAUCCAGCAGUGGCAGAGCCUGGCAGGUCACAGGUCACGUGAGGGUGACUCAUCUAGCAGCGGCAGAGCCUGGCUGGUCACGUGAGGGUGACUCAUCUAGCAGCGGCAGAGCCUGGCAGGUCAAAGGUCACGUGAGGGUGACUCAUCUAGGAGCGGUAGAGCCUGGCAGGUCAAAGGUCACGUGAGGGUGACUCAUCUAGCAGCGGCAGAGCCUGGCUGGUCACGUGAGGGUGACUCAUCUAGCAGCGGCAGAGCCUGGCAGGUCACAGGUCACGUGAGGGUGACUCAUCUAGCAGCGGCAGAGCCUGGCAGGUCACGUGAGGGUGACUCAUCUAGCAGCGGCAGAGCCUGGCUGGUCACGUGAGGGUGACUCAUCCAGCAGCGGCAGAGCCUGGCUGGUCACGUGAGGGUGACUCAUCUAGCAGUGGCAGAGCCUGGCAGGUCACAGGUCACGUGAGGGUGACUCAUCUAGCAGCGGCAGAGCCUGGCUGGUCACGUGAGGGUGACUCAUCUAGCAGCGGCAGAGCCUGGCUGGUCACGUGAGGGUGACUCAUCUAGCAGCGGCAGUGCCUGGCUGGUCACGUGAGGGUGACUCAUCUAGCAGCGGCAGAGCCUGGCUGGUCACGUGAGGGUGACUCAUCUAGCAGUGGCAGAGCCUGGCAGGUCACAGGUCACGUGAGGGUGACUCAUCUAGCAGCGGCAGAGCCUGGCUGGUCACGUGAGGGUGACUCAUCCAGCAGCGGCAGAGCCUGGCUGGUCACGUGAGGGUGACUCAUCUAGCAGUGGCAGAGCCUGGCUGGUCACGUGAGGGUGACUCAUCUAGCAGCGGCAGAGCCUGGCAGGUCAAAGGUCACGUGAGGGUGACUCAUCUAGCAGCGGCAGAGCCUGGCAGGUCAAAGGUCACGUGAGGGUGACUCAUCUAGCAGUGGCAGAGCCUGGCUGGUCACGUGAGGGUGACUCAUCUAGCAGUGGCAGAGCCUGGCAGGUCACAGGUCACGUGAGGGUGACUCAUCUAGCAGUGGCAGAGCCUGGCAGGUCACAGGUCACGUGAGGGUGACUCAUCUAGCAGCGGCAGAGCCUGGCAGGUCAAAGUCACGUGAGAGUGACUCAUCUAGCAGCGGCAGAGCCUGGCAGGUCACAGGUCACGUGAGGGUGACUCAUCUAGCAGUGGCAGAGCCUGGCAGGUGACGUGAGGGUGACUCAUCUAGCAGCGGCAGAGCCUGGCUGGUCACGUGAGGGUGACUCAUCUAGCAGCGGCAGAGCCUGGCUGAGCAAAGGGCGUGGUAGUAGUAGUAGUAUCUAGUAGUACUAUAUAACUAUUAACUAGUUAGUAGUAUCUAGUAGUACUAUAUAACUAGUUAGUAGUAUCUAGUAGUACUAUAUAACUAUUAACUAGUUAGUAGUAGUAUAUAAUUAGUAGUAACCUCUACUAACAAGUCACAAUGUCUCUACCAGUUUGGAUCAUCAACCACUACAGACGUGUUGAUGGUGGUGAUGGUGGUGGUGAUGGUGGUGGUGAUGGUGGUGGUGAUGAUGGUGAUGGUGGUGAUGAAGGAUGGGUUGAGUCUGCAUCACCUGUGAUGCCGAAGCGACGUUAUGGCGGUGGUGAUGGUGGUGGUGGAGGUAGUGAUGGUGGUAGUGGUGGUGAUGAUAGUGGUGAUGGUGGUAGUGAU